GGUCCCUUUGUCUAUCGGUUAGGACGUGAGAUUCUCAAUCUCAAAAGACGGGUUCAACUCCCGUAGGGACCG
Molecule: transfer RNA, 72 nt
Filed under: Treponema sp.
Lineage: Bacteria; Pseudomonadati; Spirochaetota; Spirochaetia; Treponematales; Treponemataceae
Description: tRNA-Glu
Rfam family: tRNA
About the family: Transfer RNA (tRNA) molecules are approximately 80 nucleotides in length. Their secondary structure includes four short double-helical elements and three loops (D, anti-codon, and T loops).
Source: RNAcentral